RNAcentral lists this ribosomal RNA (216 nucleotides) under Glomeromycotina sp. RNAcentral describes it as "partial small subunit ribosomal RNA". The stretch from base 44 to 216 matches the Rfam family "Eukaryotic small subunit ribosomal RNA", at positions 690 to 864 of the family's 1831-position model. The record is from RNAcentral. Lineage: Eukaryota; Fungi; Glomeromycota.
GGGUCAGUAGGUUGGUCGUGCCACCGGUACGUACUGGUCUCACUGAUUCCUCCUUCCUGAAGAACCGUAAUGCCAUUAAUUUGGCGUUGCGGGGAAACAGGACUGUUACUUUGAAAAAAUUAGAGUGUUUAAAGCAAGCUAACGCUUGAAUACAUUAGCAUGGAAUAAUGAAACAGGACGAUCGAUCCUAUUUUGUUGGCUUCUAGGAUUGACGUA